GCCUGGCUGGCUCAGUCAGUAGAGCAUGUGACUCUUGAUCUUGGGAUUGUGAGUUCAAGCCCCAUGUUGGGCA
RNAcentral lists this transfer RNA (73 nucleotides) under Felis catus (domestic cat). It matches the Rfam family "tRNA". From Rfam's summary of the family: Transfer RNA (tRNA) molecules are approximately 80 nucleotides in length. Their secondary structure includes four short double-helical elements and three loops (D, anti-codon, and T loops). Lineage: Eukaryota; Metazoa; Chordata; Mammalia; Carnivora; Felidae. The record is from Rfam by way of RNAcentral.